GUCGUCAUUUAGUCCUUAAUUUUUGUUGAAUAAAAUUGGUAAACCCUAACCCACUUCACCACACCUUGCAAUUUUUAAUUAGUUAGUUUCAAUCAGCACAUGUACACCACCCCAAUUUCCAGUUGCAAAAGCAGAACAUGCUCACCGGACCGUAAAGUACUAUCUUUUAUCGUUCCUCACAUGGCCGUAGAUUGAAGAUUCAGAAAAUGGCAAGCUUAAUUCUAGACUAGCAGAACUCAUAAGCGUUGUACAUAUAUGUAUAUGUUUAUAAUUAGGAUAUUUACUUAUUUGCUAUCUUCUGUAAUAUGAUGGUUUAAAGAAGCUUCAAGGUCAUUGCAAUCUGAAUUUGCAUA
This is a long non-coding RNA of Mercurialis annua (annual mercury), 353 nucleotides long. RefSeq lists it as uncharacterized. The record is from RefSeq and is a predicted model, not a curated record. The transcript is spliced from 2 exons. NCBI's taxonomy places the organism in Eukaryota, Viridiplantae, Streptophyta, Magnoliopsida, Malpighiales, Euphorbiaceae.